GAAGUAACUCCGCCUGUGCCAGUGCCUUGUCAUUACACAGCCGGUCCCAAGCCCGGAUAAAGGAGGAGGGUUGU
Molecule: non-coding RNA, 74 nt
Filed under: Ricinus communis (castor bean)
Lineage: Eukaryota; Viridiplantae; Streptophyta; Magnoliopsida; Malpighiales; Euphorbiaceae
Source: RNAcentral